UAGCAAAUAACCUUCGCCGAUUGUCCUCUGGUUCCAGAAUCUUCUCCUAAGAUACAGUGUAAAAAGCAGGUAAAUCAAUCAGAUUCAGGACAUUAGUAGCCAUGGCUGAGGGAGAAAGGCAGCAUCCACCUCAUCCAUCUCCAGCACAUGAUGGGAUUAGAGCCUCCAACUAAGCAUCCUUAAAUCUCUCAGAGUGCUGUGGACCAAGAAAAGGCUGUGGAGGAGACAAUAGUGAAUGACUGAAGAUUUGGAACAAGAAAGUGACUAGUAUGACCCAGGCAUCAAAGAUCAGUCCAUUCAUAAUAAAACCCAAAAAACCCAAGGAUCUCUUAUGAAUCAAGUAGUAUGCUAGAAGCUGAGGAUUCACAUAAAAAAUAAAUAGUCUCAACCAUCAGAGGGCUUAAGGAUGGAGUAAGUUCCCAGGGUCUCCGUCUGCUUACAGAGGUCCUCGGUGUACUUUAAGGAUGACUGCUUGUUCCAAGGUGCUGAUUUUAAUCUACAAAGGCCUGGCUACUCCCCUUCUCCCCCAGACACCCAGACCACAAUUAGCAUCAGCAUGAGAGUUGCUGCUGCUGCUGCUGCACUCCAGAUGUGAAUUCCUUAGGCAUCUUUGAGGAGAGAUGGAAAGGAACUAGCAGAGACAGAAGCUUCCCCAGGUGCUGGUUUGCACCCAGCAUGAAGCUCUUUACAUAUGGAUUCAGUAAACCUUUGCCUAUCUGGUGACAGGGUUCCAGUGAUUCAAAGCAUAUUUCUGGGAGCUAAGAGAAGCUCACCUUCCUGAUGGUGAUGAGAACAGAAAUCAGCUCCUAUCACUACUGAGAGCCAUAUCUCAUCAGCUCAUGGAAAGGAUGGGUUUAUUUCUUUAUCCAUUUGGGGAUCUCACUAAGAAUGAAGGGUGAAUUUCAUAAGAUGGGAGGGGAAGAAGGGCACAAUCUAUUCUGGGGAUUUGUCAGAACUAUAGUAGCAGAGCCAGUAUCCAGCUAUUUGUUCAGAAAGCAAACUUAACUUACAAGUCUUCCCUUAUCCCAUAAUUCAGAGAAUACUUUUUUCCAACCCACAUUAAUAAGAAAAAAUAAUAAAAAAAUGUGGAGGGAGGAGGAAAGAAAGAAGGGUUAGGGUGGGAAGAGAGUGAGCAAGGAAAGGAAUUUGCUUAACAGAAUCAUUUCUGUGCCUCCUCGAACACUUUGAUUAAAGCCAUGGGACCUAAAUCAAAGCCACUGAAAGGAGAAAUAAAAAGACUUCUGAGAAC
Sarcophilus harrisii (Tasmanian devil) is the source of this 1249-nucleotide long non-coding RNA. RefSeq lists it as uncharacterized. NCBI's taxonomy places the organism in Eukaryota, Metazoa, Chordata, Mammalia, Dasyuromorphia, Dasyuridae. The record is from RefSeq and is a predicted model, not a curated record. The transcript is spliced from 3 exons.